This 219-nucleotide long non-coding RNA is filed under the name Elaeis guineensis (African oil palm). RNAcentral's name for it is "long non-coding RNA (EGUI_LNC009373)". Lineage: Eukaryota; Viridiplantae; Streptophyta; Magnoliopsida; Arecales; Arecaceae. The record is from RNAcentral.
GCAUGCGAUCAAAUGAUACAAUUGUCACAACGAUGAUAAUUGUAUCGAGUAUAGGUCAUUGUAUGCCAUAUUAGUCUGUUGUCCUCUUAACCAAGACGUGUGUUGACACGAGUAUGACAUAUAGGUGAUAUGUAGGAGUACAUUUCAUCGAGCAUGAUCACUUUUGGAGCACUCUGCUAUCAAGGGUUGCUCUGAUGGGAUAUGGAUAUAUGUGUCUCU